This 227-nucleotide ribosomal RNA is filed under the name uncultured bacterium. RNAcentral describes it as "partial 16S ribosomal RNA". It matches the Rfam family "Bacterial small subunit ribosomal RNA", at positions 118 to 346 of the family's 1533-position model. The record is from RNAcentral.
UGAGCAAUCUGCCCCUCUCAUCGGAAUAAGCGUUGGAAACGACGUCUAAUGCCGAAUACGACCUCCUUUCGCAUGAUCGGAGGUGGAAAGCUCCGGCGGUGAAGGAUGAGCUCGCGGCCUAUCAGCUAGUUGGUGUGGGUAACGCCCACCAAGGCGACGACGGGUAGCUGGUCUGAGAGGAUGGCCAGCCACAUUGGGACUGAGACACGGCCCAGACCUCUACGGGA